GACGAACGCUGGCGGCGUGCUUAACACAUGCAAGUCGAACGGAAAGGCCCUGCUUUUGUGGGGUGCUCGAGUGGCGAACGGGUGAGUAACACGUGAGUAACCUGCCCUUGACUUUGGGAUAACUUCAGGAAACUGGGGCUAAUACCGGAUAGGAGCUCCUGCUGCAUGGUGGGGGUUGGAAAGUUUCGGCGGUUGGGGAUGGACUCGCGGCUUAUCAGCUUGUUGGUGGGGUAGUGGCUUACCAAGGCUUUGACGGGUAGCCGGCCUGAGAGGGUGACCGGCCACAUUGGGACUGAGAUACGGCCCAGACUCCUACGGGAGGCAGCGGUGGGGAACAUUGCACAAUGGGCCGAAGCCUGAUGCAGCAACGCCGCGUGCGGAAUGACGGCCUUCGGGUUGUAAACCGCUUUCGCCUGUGACGAAGCGUGAGUGACGGUAAUGGGUAAAGAAGCACCGGCUAACUACGUG
Molecule: ribosomal RNA, 468 nt
Filed under: uncultured bacterium
Lineage: Bacteria
Description: partial 16S ribosomal RNA
Rfam family: Bacterial small subunit ribosomal RNA
Source: RNAcentral